CCUCUGCAAUGCGGGAAACCGUGACAGGGGGAUCCCAAGUGCUCAUGCAUUGCAUGGGCUGUUCUUUGGUCUAAGUAACCAGAGGAGUAAGGGCUGGGCAAGACCGGUGCCAGCCGCCGCGGUAAUACCGGCAGCUCAAGUGGUAGCCGCGAUUAUUGGGCCUAAAACGUUCGUAGCCGGAUAAGUAAGUCUUUGGUUAAAUCCUGCGACUCAACCGUGGGAAUUCUAGAGAUACUGCUUGUCUUGAGACCGGGAGAGGUUGGAGGUACUCCUAGGGUAGGGGUGAAAUCCUGUAAUCCUAGGGGGACCACCUGUGGCGAAGGCGUCCAACUGGAACGGGUCUGACGGUGAGGGACGAAACCUAGGGGAGCGAGCCGGAUUAGAUACCCGUGUAGUCC
Molecule: ribosomal RNA, 398 nt
Filed under: uncultured archaeon
Lineage: Archaea
Description: bacterial SSU rRNA
Rfam family: Archaeal small subunit ribosomal RNA
Source: RNAcentral